RNAcentral lists this ribosomal RNA (253 nucleotides) under uncultured bacterium. Its description in RNAcentral is "partial 16S ribosomal RNA". It matches the Rfam family "Bacterial small subunit ribosomal RNA", at positions 524 to 776 of the family's 1533-position model. The record is from RNAcentral.
GACGGAGGGGGCUAGCGUUGUUCGGAAUUACUGGGCGUAAAGCGCGCGUAGGCCGUUGUCUAAGUUGGGUGUGAAAGCCCGGGGCUUAACCCCGGAAAUGCGCCCAAGACUGGAUGACUGGAGUCCGGGAGAGGUGGGUGGAACUCCCAGUGUAGAGGUGAAAUUCGUAGAUAUUGGGAAGAACACCGGUGGCGAAGGCGGCCCACUGGACCGGUACUGACGCUGAGGCGCGAAAGCGUGGGGAGCAAACAGG